Molecule: unclassified non-coding RNA, 1499 nt
Filed under: Hevea brasiliensis (rubber tree)
Lineage: Eukaryota; Viridiplantae; Streptophyta; Magnoliopsida; Malpighiales; Euphorbiaceae
Source: RNAcentral
UUUGGAGAGAAUUCCAAGACGUGAUGCUCGGAAAGUUGUUUAUCUGCAACAUGGGGUUUUUGAUUCAUCCAUGGGUUGGAUAUCGAAUGGAGUUGUUGGUUCUCCUGCAUUUGCAGCCUAUGAUCAAGGGUAUGAUGUUUUCCUUGGAAAUUUUCGCGGACUGGUUUCGAGAGAACAUGUUGAUGGCAAUAUAUCCCCACGACAAUACUGGAGGUACUCCAUAAAUGAGCACGGGACACAAGAUAUACCUGCGAUCAUACAGAAGAUCCAUGAAAUAAAAGUUUCUGAAUUGAAAAACAGCCAAGCGGGUUUUGAGGAAGAGUUUGAGAGUGAUCAACCAUACAAGCUCUGUGCUAUUUCCCAUAGUUUGGGUGGAGCUGCUAUUCUGAUGUAUGUCAUUACCCAGCGAAUUGAGGAAAAACCCCAUAGGAUUUCAAGAUUAAUCUUGUUAUCACCUGCUGGCUUCCAUCAUGAUUCAAAUAUUGUUUUCACGGUUAUGGAGUACGUGUUCCUAGUGUUAUCUCCUUUACUGAUGCCCUUUGUGCCAGCUUUCUAUAUACCUACUCGUUUUUUCCGCAUGCUGGUCAAUAAGUUGGCACGGGACUUCCAUAACUUACCUGCAGUUGGAGGCCUUGUGCAAACCCUGAUAAGUUAUGUGGUUGGUGGAGACAGUUCAAACUGGGUUGGAGCUCUGGGGUUAUCACAUUACAAUAUGAAUGAUAUGCCAGCUGUUUCAUUCCGUGUGGCCCUUCAUUUGGCACAGAUCAAGAACACUCGGAAGUUUAUGAUGUUUGACUAUGGGAGUGCAGCUGCGAACAUGAAAGCUUAUGGUUCCCCUCAUCCUUUAGAUUUGGGGGAGUUCUAUUCCCUUAUUGAUAUUCCGGUUGAUCUUGUUGCUGGGCGUAAGGACAAGGUCAUCAGGCCGUCCAUGGUAAGGAAGCAUUAUAAGCUGAUGAAGGAUGCAGGUGUGGAGGUGUCAUAUAAUGAGUUUGAGUAUGCUCAUUUGGAUUUUACAUUUUCCCACCAUGAAGAACUAUUGGCCUAUGUUAUGUCUCGAUUAAUUUUAGUAGAUGCUUCUAUGAAGCAGCAACCUGGCCAGAAAUCAUUGAAGAACAGGAGAAAAGAGGGGCAAACCAGCAGCAGCCGUUAAAGUGUAGCACUAACAAGAGCCGUACCUGUCUAUAUCUUGGGUGUUUCUUGUAAUCCAUGUAUGUCACUUAUACAGAAAAAUAUAGUGAAUGCUGAAUCAGGAUAGGACACUUAUGCGGCCCCUUAUUGACAUUACCAAAGCCUACUCAAGGAAAUAGAAUUGGGUUGGAUGUUGUGUCCUAGUGUGUUGGAUGUGGUUUUGUGUAUAUUCUGUAUGUAUGUUGUAACUUGUAAAGGUGUACCAUUGUUUUGGAAUGAGUACUACACAUGGUGUUUAGUGUGUAAAUUAGUACUUUGUAGGAUUUGAGAACUAUGAAAUUUGUAUGAAUGGGCAUGAUGCAAGAUACAAA